CUAAAACUUAGUUAGAAAAUUCAAUUCAAAUUAUAACAUUAUAAUUAAUCAAACUUUUAGCUUCCUCUAAAACUCAUAAUGAAAAUUCAAUCCGACUCAAAAUGAGAUGUACGGCGACAAAUUUUAACCAUUAUAUACUCCUAAGAAGAUUCGAACUUUCUUCCGAUACAACAGAUUGAUUGUAUGAUUGAUUGACUGUGAUAAAUAUUAUGAUUGAAAGUGUAUAGUAAACAUUCUAAAACGUGGUGUAUAUUCAACUUCUCAUACUGUGGAUUCAU
Molecule: long non-coding RNA, 278 nt
Filed under: Mytilus galloprovincialis (Mediterranean mussel)
Lineage: Eukaryota; Metazoa; Mollusca; Bivalvia; Mytilida; Mytilidae
Source: RNAcentral